AAAAACCCUAAAUAAAAAGCUUCAAUCUUUGAACUCACCAUUUUUUUCCUUCUCAAAAACAGCAUCAUUCCCAAAGAUAACCAAAUGCAAGAAAUACCCAUUAAUUACUAUGUCAAGUCAGCAGCAAAGUCCACCACCCCAUGUAGCAUUAACCAACAAUGACCACAAGGAAGAACUCAUGAGGGCUAUCAAAAGUUCAAUAACUAAUUGCUUAUCUGAAACCCAUCUUGAUUUAACUGUACCUCAACUCAAGUCCAAAAUCAGAGGCAAGGUUAGAGAUAUAUAUGAUGGAGGGGAUUAUCUUGUAAUGGUGACAACAGAUAGGCAAAGUGCGUUUGACAGAAUUCUUGCUUCCAUCCCCUUCAAAGGCCAGGUGCUUAAUGAAACAAGUUUGUGGUGGUUUAAUAAGACUCAACAUAUUACUCCUAAUGCAGUGGUAUCUGUACCUGACAAAAACGUAACUAUUGCGAGGAAAUGUUCGGUUUUCCCUGUUGAAUUUGUAGUACGAGGAUAUGUUACUGGAAGCACUGAUACAUCACUCUGGACAGUCUACAAUAAAGGGGUUCGCAAUUAUUGCGGCAACAACCUUCCUGAUGGUCUGGUGAAAAAUCAAAAGCUUACCGAAAAUAUACUUACUCCGACAACUAAAGCAGCAGAUCAUGAUGUUCCUGUAACACCAGAUGAGAUAGUUCAACGCGGUCUUAUGACUCAAGCUGAUUACGAUGAAGUCAGUAGGAGGGCAAUGAGCUUAUUUGAGUUUGGCCAGCAUGUAGCAUUGGAUCAUGGGUUGAUAUUAGUGGACACCAAAUAUGAAUUUGGAAAAGGACCCGAUGGUCAAAUUUAUCUGAUUGAUGAGGUGCAUACACCUG
This 869-nucleotide unclassified non-coding RNA is filed under the name Hevea brasiliensis (rubber tree). The record is from RNAcentral. Lineage: Eukaryota; Viridiplantae; Streptophyta; Magnoliopsida; Malpighiales; Euphorbiaceae.